CCUACGGGAGGCAGCAGUGAGGAAUAUUGGUCAAUGGACGAGAUUCUGAACCAGCCAAGUAGCGUGAAGGAUGACUGCCCUAUGGGUUGUAAACUUCUUUUAUAAAAGAAUAAAACGAGGCACGUGUGCCUUUUUGCAUGUACUUUAUGAAUAAGGAUCGGCUAACUCCGUGCCAGCAGCCGCGGUAAUACGGAGGAUCCGAGCGUUAUCCGGAUUUAUUGGGUUUAAAGGGUGCGUAGAUGGGUUGUUAAGUCAGUUGUGAAAUUUUGGGGCUCAACCGUAAAAUUGCAUUUGAUACUGGCAGCCUUGAGUACAGUUGAGGUAGGCGGAAUGCGCGGUGUAGCGGUGAAAUGCUUAGAUAUCACGCAGAACUCCGAUUGCGAAGGCAGCUUACCAAACUGACACUGACAUUGAGGCACGAAAGUGUGGGUAUCAAACAGGAUUAGAUACCCGUGUAGUC
This 460-nucleotide ribosomal RNA is filed under the name uncultured bacterium. Its description in RNAcentral is "partial 16S ribosomal RNA". It matches the Rfam family "Bacterial small subunit ribosomal RNA", at positions 338 to 795 of the family's 1533-position model. The record is from RNAcentral.